AUACGUAGGGGGCGAGCGUUGUCCGGAAUGAUUGGGCGUAAAGGGCGCGUAGGCGGCCCGGUAAGUCUGGAGUGAAAGUCCUGUUUUUAAGAUGGGAAUUGCUUUGGAUACUGUCGGGCUUGAGUGCAGGAGAGGUAAGUGGAAUUCCCAGUGGAGCGGGGAAAUGCGUAGAGAUUGGGAGGAACACCAGUGGCGAAGGCGACUUACUGGACUGUAACUGACGCUGAGGCGCGAAAGUGUGGGGAGCAAACAGGAUUAGAUACCCUGGUAGUCCACACUGUAAACGAUGAAUGCUAGGUGUAGGGGGUAUCGACCCCUUCUGUGCCGCAGUCAACACAAUAAGCAUUCCGCCUGGGGAGUACGGCCGCAUGGUUGAAACUCAAAGGAAUUGGCGGGG
This 397-nucleotide ribosomal RNA is filed under the name uncultured bacterium. RNAcentral describes it as "partial 16S ribosomal RNA". It matches the Rfam family "Bacterial small subunit ribosomal RNA", at positions 523 to 918 of the family's 1533-position model. The record is from RNAcentral.